Molecule: ribosomal RNA, 1812 nt
Filed under: Triticum aestivum (bread wheat)
Lineage: Eukaryota; Viridiplantae; Streptophyta; Magnoliopsida; Poales; Poaceae
Description: partial small subunit ribosomal RNA
Source: RNAcentral
AUGGGGCUCUGUUUCAGCAAGAAGCAGCAGGACAAGCCACCGCCGCCGCCGCCGCAGCCGAGCGCGGCUGCGGCCACCACCAAGCCCAAGAAGCCCGCCAAGGUCGCCGCCGCCGCAGUGGUCGCGGGCGACGAGAAGGCCAAGAAGGCGCCGCAGCCGAGGAGGGCGUCCAACGCGGACGAGUCCGCCGCGGACGGCAAGAAGGCGGCACCGAUCGUCGUCAAGGCUAACAAGGCGGCCGCGGGCGGGGAGGCGGAGGAGAAGAAGGAGGAGCAGGCGAGGCCGGUGGUGGUGGUGGCCAAGGGGCCGAUGCCGGUGCGCACGUCCAGCUGCACCAAGGAGGAGGUGGACGCCAUCCUCAUCCAGUGCGGCCGCCUCAGCCGGAGCUCGUCCGGGAGCGAGACGAGGGGCGGGCACCGCUCCAAGAGGAGCUCCGACUUUGAUCCGUCCGGGGCCGCUGGCGCGGACGAGGAGGGCGACUGGGAGAGGAACGGGGUCCCCGUGUCGAGGCCGUCGCCCCACCGGGGCUCGCCGCAGAGGAAGCGCUCGGGGAGCCGGGAGAGGACCGGCGGAGGGAGCCGCAGGUCGAGCCGAUCGCCCGGACGGCGUGGCGAGGGCGGCGCGCCCUCUGCUACCUCGGCGGGCUCCGGCGUCGCCAGACAGCAGCCCGGGAAGAUGGUCUCCGUUCCGGCGAGGGAGAAAGGGCGCGCACCGUCGCCCGCGGCCGCGUCCGGCAAGAGGUGCGCGUCUCCGCGAUCAAGCUCGCCUGCGAGGGUGACCGCUGCCAAUGAGAAUGCUGGAGGGGGACAGAAGACGGCGGGGCAAACGCCGGCGCUGAGCCGGAGCUCGUCCAGGAAGGCCGAGCAGUCGCCGCUCCGGCGCAGCCCCAUGGCCGAGAUCGACGAGAAUUCUCUCCGCAAUAACAACAGCAGCACCAACACCAAGCCCCAGAAGAAAUCGACGGAGAUUGCCGUCGCCACCCCGACCCGGAAGACCGCGGAGCGCGCAAAGGAGCAGAGUUCUCAGAAGGAGAAGGCGGAGGAGACCAUCGGUGCGGCGUCGGAGACGAGAGCACCGUCGUCCAAGACCACCGAGACGCGCACGGUGAGCAUCGUGGCCGAGACCCCAGGACGGAGGUCAGGCCGCCGUUCGCGCCGGGCGUCGCGCGACUUCGACCAGAACCCCGGCUUGUACGCCAGCCAUCUCCUCGAGGACAUCCAGAACUACCACACCUCCGCUACGGCCACCCCCGGAACGCCGCCAUCCUUCACGCUACCGGCCUGCGUCUCCAAGGCGCAGUCCAUCGUCGACGCCGUCGCCGACCUCAACUCCUCGUCGUCGGAGAGCCGCACCUGCGAGCCCGAUCGGAGCGUCGACGACAAGGCCUCCGUCAACGCGGCGGCCGGCGGGGACGACCUGGACGCGCCGAGCGUGCACAGGUACGUGUCGGUGCGCGACAUCCGUGGCCGCGGGGAGAUGGAGCUGCAGGAGUCCGCGGGGAGCAACAGCCUCUCCGGCAACCUGUGGACGCCGUCGUGCGAGUCCACGGACCGGACGUGGAGCGGCUCGCGGUCGUCGAACAACGGCGACGAGGUCGUCGAGCAGGUCCCUAGCCACCACGGUGGCGCGCGCAGCCCGGUGAACCGGCCCAGGCAGAGCAAGCAGAGGGCGGCGGCGCAGCUGGAGCCCAGCGGCCGGUCGCGCGCCGGCAGCUCCGGCGUCAAUGCUCACCGUGGACGCAGCGCUCACCGCGGCAGCGGCAGCGUGGUGAGCGGCCGAUCGGGCGUCCGUGGCGUCUCGGCGAGCUCGUAG